Molecule: ribosomal RNA, 473 nt
Filed under: uncultured Pseudomonadota bacterium
Lineage: Bacteria; Pseudomonadati; Pseudomonadota
Description: bacterial SSU rRNA
Rfam family: Bacterial small subunit ribosomal RNA
Source: RNAcentral
UGGGGAAUUUUGGACAAUGGGCGAAAGCCUGAUCCAGCAAUGCCGCGUGCAGGAUGAAGGCCUUCGGGUUGUAAACUGCUUUUGUACGGAACGAAAAGUCUCGGGAUAAUACCCUGGGACCAUGACGGUACCGUAAGAAUAAGCACCGGCUAACUACGUGCCAGCAGCCGCGGUAAUACGUAGGGUGCAAGCGUUAAUCGGAAUUACUGGGCGUAAAGCGUGCGCAGGCGGUUAUAUAAGACAGAUGUGAAAUCCCCGGGCUCAACCUGGGAACUGCAUUGUGACUGUAUAGCUAGAGUACGGUAGAGGGGGAUGGAAUUCCGCGUGUAGCAGUGAAAUGCGUAGAUAUGCGGAGGAACACCGAUGGCGAAGGCAAUCCCCUGGACCUGUACUGACGCUCAUGCACGAAAGCGUGGGGAGCAAACAGGAUUAGAUACCCUGGUAGUCCACGCCCUAAACGAUGUCAACUGGUU